AUACGAAGGGGGCAAGCGUUGUUCGGAAUAACUGGGCGUAAAGCGCACGUAGGCGGAAUGUUAAGUUAGAGGUGAAAUCCCAGGGCUCAACCCUGGAACUGCCUUUAAUACUGGCAAUCUAGAGACCGAGAGAGGUGAGUGGAAUUCCGAGUGUAGAGGUGAAAUUCGUAGAUAUUCGGAGGAACACCAGUGGCGAAGGCGGCUCACUGGCUCGGUACUGACGCUGAGGUGCGAAAGCGUGGGGAGCAAACAGGAUUAGAAACCCUAGUAGUCC
RNAcentral lists this ribosomal RNA (274 nucleotides) under uncultured bacterium. Its description in RNAcentral is "partial 16S ribosomal RNA". It matches the Rfam family "Bacterial small subunit ribosomal RNA", at positions 523 to 796 of the family's 1533-position model. The record is from RNAcentral.